CCUACGGGAGGCUGCAGUGGGGAAUAUUGCACAAUGGGGGAAACCCUGAUGCAGCGACGCCGCGUGAGUGAAGAAGUAUUUCGGUAUGUAAAGCCCUAUCAGCAGGGAAGAUAAUGACGGUACCUGACUAAGAAGCACCGGCUAACUACGUGCCAGCAGCCGCGGUAAUACGUAGGGGGCAAGCGUUAUCCGGAUUUACUGGGUGUAAAGGGUGCGUAGGUGGCAGGGCAAGUCAGAUGUGAAAGCCCAGGGCUUAACCCCGGUACUGCAUUUGAAACUGUCCAGCUGGAGUACAGGAGAGGUAAGCGGAAUUCCUAGUGUAGCGGUGAAAUGCGUAGAUAUUAAGAGGAACACCAGUGGCGAAGGCGGCUUACUGGACUGUAACUGACACUGAGGCACGAAAGCGUGGGGAGCAAACAGGAUUAGAUACCCGAGUAGUC
RNAcentral lists this ribosomal RNA (440 nucleotides) under uncultured bacterium. RNAcentral describes it as "partial 16S ribosomal RNA". It matches the Rfam family "Bacterial small subunit ribosomal RNA", at positions 338 to 795 of the family's 1533-position model. The record is from RNAcentral.